Molecule: long non-coding RNA, 956 nt
Organism: Vicia villosa (hairy vetch)
Lineage: Eukaryota; Viridiplantae; Streptophyta; Magnoliopsida; Fabales; Fabaceae
Exons: 3
Source: RefSeq, a predicted model, not a curated record
ACUCCCAAACAUAGCCUAAACCUUCUUCGUUUCUCCCUAAAUCUUCUCCGCUUCUUUGCAUUGUAAACCCUAAAUCAAUUUCCCUAAAUCUUCUCGGUUUGACGAAGAAGUACAGAUCCACGGCACUACCUCGUCCCAUAGUUGUCACUUUUCCACUCAAUAACACCAAUGUCUCAAAACUAUCUCUAGCUUUUCCACUCUUCCCUCUUUCAGAUUCAAAGUCUCUGCCAUGGUUUUCACCGUCACCACCACUAAAGUAGUCCCCUCCGUCAUUUUCGGCGGCGGAAGAGUUGGAAAGGCUUUACAAGACAUGGGAGAAGGCCAAGACGUUCUUGUGAAACGUGGAGAUUCAAUUCCUCUUGAUUUUGAAGGUUAGGGCCAAUUCCAAUAACGAAAGAAGAUUUGGGAAGUGACCAUUGCUUGUUGGAGAAUUGAACAUCACAAUGAGAGAUUAAACUGCAGCAGUUGGAGAUAUAGAAUUCACUGAUAAUUAUAGCUGGAUAAGGAGUAGAAGGCGGUUCAUCAUGGGAAUAAUCAAAGUGUUAGGAUUCAAGAAGCAAUGUCUGAUGCAUUUGUUGUUAAAGAUCAUUGUGGAGAAUAUGAUGAUUCAAUGCUAGCGGUGUUAUGGCGUCUGCAGCAAGUGGUUGCGGCAUCUCCGACAAAUGGUUAACAGCAUUUUCUAUGAUUCCAUACUCUUUCUUGAUGCCAUACUGCAUUUUGAUUUGUGCAGGAAGCAGUUGGUGCGAGAGUUAGGUUUACAAUUACUCACAUUACUCCAAAGAGACUAAGUUUCUGUUUGGUUAUAAGAACUAUCUAAUGCUGAACUUUGUGUUUUAUGACCAUGUUAAUUGUCAGACGACUGCAUAGUAAAAGUUGGAGAAAGGCAAUAACUUCAAUGUAAUUGAGGAGAAUAUAGUGCCAAGAUCGGAGAUGGGCUUUGUUGUUGCAACCAACAA